Long non-coding RNA from Tympanuchus pallidicinctus (lesser prairie-chicken), 3151 nucleotides. RefSeq lists it as uncharacterized. NCBI's taxonomy places the organism in Eukaryota, Metazoa, Chordata, Aves, Galliformes, Phasianidae. The transcript has 2 exons. The record is from RefSeq and is a predicted model, not a curated record.
UCAUAGCUGAAAAGGAAAAGAAACAUUUUGCAUAACUGAGAUCAUAAUCAUUGUUUUCAUAGGCCUUUGUAUGACUACUGGUUGGACACUAAUGUAAGCCUCUAUCAAAUCAUGCUUUUAUACAGUGAGAAAUGUUGCGUUUGUGCAAAAUUCUUAAAAUAGCACCAGCCUUGGGUCCCUUCUGUUUACAAGAGAGUCAAGUGAUAGAGUAUGGAUCAUAGAAUCAUAGAAUAGCCUGGGUUGAAAAGGAGCACAAUGAUCAUCUACCUUCAAGCCCUCUGUUGUGGGCAGAGUUGUCAAUCACCAGACCAGACUGCCCAGAUCCACAUCCAGCCUGGCCCUGAAUGCCUCCAAGGAUGGGGCAUCCACAAUCUCUCUGGGCAACCUGUUCCAGUGCCUCACCACCCCCUGAGUGGAGCAUGCUGAAUGACAGCAGCAUCACAGCCAGCUUCGGGGCGAUGGAAAAUUCCUUGCUUUUUAUGUGUUCGUUCCUUUGCAGUUUUCUUUACAAAACUGCUGCAGUGAAACAGGUAAAGCUGAUCUCAAUGACAUCAUCAGGGCAGCCUCCAAAACUGUAACUCCAGAAAACAGCUCCGUAAGAGGUGCUCUCCAGAAGAAAUGGCUAAAAUGAUUAUAUUAGGUGCAAUUCAGUGCAUUUAACAGGAAAAAAAGUACUGUUUAGACAUAUUUUCAUGUAAGUAAGCCCAAUCAUCAUCUUCAAAAGCAAAAGCAAAAAGAAUGAAAUCUUUGCAAUCCUUUCCACUCCCUAUAUGCAAACACUUCUGGCAGUCAUCCAAAGCUCUAGAAGUUUGAACUGAAAUUCAGAUACUGCAGGUGACAUUAAAAAAAUCAUGUUCAAAAAUUUGAGUAUGCUUAUUUUAUGGGCUGUAGAAUAAUAAAAAAAAGUAUGUUUGGGAUGGGAUAACAAAUGAUAUUUUUUAUUAUCAUAUGCUGCCUUGGAAAUGAACUCAGUCUCAGACGAGAAACUUUGCAGAGUCACCGUCCCUGGUAGUGUUCAGUAACUGAGGAGAUGUGACUGAAAGACAUGGUUCACUGGGCAUGGUGGGGAUGGGUUGAUGGUUGGACUAGGUGGUCUUAGAGAUCUUUUCCAAGCUUAAUAAUUCCAUGAUUCUAACUAACUAACGUGGAAUGUUUUCACAAAUGGUUUGAGGACCUGUGGAGCCUGGAGCCCCUUUUGCUGCAGCAAGAAGACAGAUCUAAGCAAAAGUUUUAUAGGCCCAAGUGAUGAACAACAGAAGGACUCAGCAGGAAAUAAAGACCCAGAUGGACCUGUCAGAACAGCAGUUUGGUUAAAAAGCGUAUAAAAAACUGUGUGCAGCUAUUUCUUUACAAUAUGAUGAAAAACUUGUGUGCAAAACUUUACAGGAUAUGGAAUUCACCAUCUGGUUCUGUACUUCAUUUCUUUUAGCUUUCGUCAUUUUGUUUGACAUGGAUUGUUCUGAUUCUCAUUGUACUGAACCAGAUUUUGAUCUAGAUCAGGGAGUCACAUUUGUUCAUGUUCCAGUGAGGAAAACAAGCAGCAAUCUUGGAAACUCUCUCAGGCCAACAAACUGAAAAUGGACCAGCACUUCUCUCUCUAACAGUGCUGCAUGAACAGCAUUCCACUGGAGGAGUGAGCUAUAUUUUUUCUGACGCCAAAAGGAAUUUGCUCCAAGAUGAAUAAACACAGAGAAGUGAGGAGAAUGUUUUCUACUAUCUCCAAGACUACUUCCUUUGGUUCCAGCUUGUCUUCAUCCUCACUGCUCUUUUCCUUACUCUAAGGACAGUACAUAGAUACAUAGCACAAGAAGUUCCUGGCUAUAGGUUUUUCUAUAGUAGUCAAAGAAUGAUAAAGUACUUCAUUACCAUUCUCAUCUUCAGUGAAGACUGUCUGUCCCUUGAAGACUUUUGUUCCUACUUGUAUCUCUCCUGGCCGCAUGAAAGGCCCAUUUAUUCUGUUGUCCUUACACAGCUUAGUGAGGAUCUCACUUGGCUUGGUUGCAUCUCGCCAUGCAUUGUACCCUUCUCUGCAAGGAGGGAACAGAAUUGAGAGAAAUAGCUGAGAUUUUCCCUCAGAAAAAUGGGCAGCCACGAGAAGAGAAGGGAAGGACUAGAGAUUAUUCUUUGUUCUACCUGAAGGAUUCAAAUGUACAUGUUUAUCUCCAGAAUGACAUUUAAGGAAGAUGCAUUCUGUUGCUCCCUUGUGCAGAGGGAGAAGCUGAGAUUGUCUGGGGCCUGGAACAAGGACAUAAAGAAAUACUUCAUACUACAGCUAGCAAGGGCUUGGGUUUCAGUCUCUUUUUUUUUUUUACAUUUUCCACGUUUUGUAGAUAAAAUAGUGAAACGAUCGUGGAACAAGAACCCCAAAUUCUCAUCUCUAAGGCAAACGCCCCACCCCAGGGCAAUGGGGUUAUUUUAGUUUGUUUUUCUCCAUACUGAUUAAUCUUUGCACACAACAACAACCUUGAGAGUCCAGCUGCGUGACUGGGAUCAGGAACUCAGUGUCACUGCCUUGUGAGUCCUUUUCAAUACAGUGGCCCUAUAUGCCUGUCCAAAGGCAAUUUAUGAAGCAAAUAUGCCAUACAGAAGCUGUUUAUUACCUAAAACACUUGAUGAACAAACAGUGUUGUUAAUUUUAAACUACUCACUUCCUGCUUAGGCUGACAGGUACGUAGAGCUACUGCUAAGCUCUGUGGUGGAACUUAAUUAAAAUACCUCCUGUGACUUUUGUCCUGGAGAAAUUUUAAUUUUUUGGCCACAUCUGGAAUUUCUCCUUCAAAACAUUAAUUCACCACAUGCUGCUCUCUGUGGCUGUCUGAAGAGGUACUUACAUUUCAUAGCGACUUUGUAACCCACAGGUAGCUCUAUGCCUGCUGUAGAAACGAUUUUCCAAAUCAAUUUUAGUUUCUCCAAUCAGAUCAUCAGUUCCCACAAAGUCAUGGUCAUAGAUCAGAACUGUAAGCAAGGAGUCCUUGGGAAAUGUAGCCUGGAUUUCAAAUGACCUAUGGCAAAAAUUGGGCAGAACAUGAAGUCAAAUUAGUUUUGAUAUCUAAAAAAGUAACUUAAUGAAUAUAAUGUGAAUAAUGUGUGGAUAGUUUGCUCAACUUGCAAAUUUUCUCUUCUAAUAAAAAAUGGAUUUUUUUUGCUUGUA